UACGGGGGGGGCAAGCGUUGUUCGGAAUCACUGGGCGUAAAGCGCACGUAGGCGGAUUGUUAAGUCAGGGGUGAAAUCCUGGAGCUCAACUCCAUAACUGCCUUUGAUACUGGCGAUCUUGAGUCCGGGAGAGGUGAGUGGAACUGCGAGUGUAGAGGUGAAAUUCGUAGAUAUUCGCAAGAACACCAGUGGCGAAGGCGGCUCACUGGCCCGGUACUGACGCUGAGGUGCGAAAGCGUGGGGAGCAAACAGG
This 253-nucleotide ribosomal RNA is filed under the name uncultured bacterium. RNAcentral's name for it is "partial 16S ribosomal RNA". It matches the Rfam family "Bacterial small subunit ribosomal RNA", at positions 524 to 776 of the family's 1533-position model. The record is from RNAcentral.